This 253-nucleotide ribosomal RNA is filed under the name uncultured bacterium. Its description in RNAcentral is "partial 16S ribosomal RNA". It matches the Rfam family "Bacterial small subunit ribosomal RNA", at positions 524 to 776 of the family's 1533-position model. The record is from RNAcentral.
UACGAAGGGGGCUAGCGUUGUUCGGAAUUACUGGGCGUAAAGCGCGCGCAGGCGGUCUUCCAAGUCAGUGGUGAAAGCCCGGAGCUCAACUCCGGAACUGCCAUUGAAACUGUAAGACUUGAGGAUGAGAGAGGUGAGUGGAAUUCCCAGUGUAGAGGUGAAAUUCGUAGAUAUGGGGAGGAACACCGGCGGCGAAGGCGGCCAUCUGGACGGAUACUGACGCUGAGACGCGAAAGCGUGGGUAGCAAACAGG